Non-coding RNA from Brassica napus (rape), 100 nucleotides. The record is from Rfam. NCBI's taxonomy places the organism in Eukaryota, Viridiplantae, Streptophyta, Magnoliopsida, Brassicales, Brassicaceae.
GGAAUAUAAGAAACCGUCUCUUAACUUUUAACUAAAAAAACUAAGAACCGGCUUUAAGAGCUUUUUUAGUUAAAAGUUAAGAGACGGUUUCUUAUAUUCC